UGGCUGAGCAUUGGAGAGCUUUCAAUAUCAUUUUGUCAUAAAAUUCUUAUAUUUUUUUUAAAACAUUCUGCAGUCCAUUUGAGCCACCAAAAUAGAAAAGCGCGCUAGGAUAUUUUUUAUUUAGACCUUGAUGUAAUUAUUUUUAUGUGAAAGUUUUCUAACCCCCAGUGAUUUUUUUGAAAACCCCCUCGCUCCCACCCGCAACCUUAGCCUCGUCUCUUCCUCAUUCCUCUCUCCUUUAUCUCUCCUCCCGCCGCCGCUGGUCACCGCGCGCGCCUCCUGACUCUCACCUCCACUCCGUCUAGGCGCCGCCAUCGCUCCUCCCUCUCGUAUUCUUGUAGAGCGGCAGUCCGACGCUGUGGCAACGGAAAGCGGAGCCCCGCAGAGUGGCAGCUGCGACGACACCGUGCUCGGUUGGAACUGGCGCCUCAGGGGCUGCGUGUGGUCCAGUCUGUCCACCCGACGGCCAAUGCCUGAAGCUCAAGGCCUGCGCGGUAUCGAGGCUGGACCAGGCUUCCCUCAUUGCGAGCUUCACCCAAUCUGCUCGCCGGCACCAGAGCUCCCAUGAGUAAGCGGCUGCCCAAACCCUCUAGAUCCGGUCGACGCGGCGUUGCGUGCUCGCGAUCUGGCGCCAGCACCCUCAGGCAGUGGCCUGUCUUCAACCAAGCACGGCGAGCUCCCUCCCUCGGCAGCAGCGGCACGGUGCAUGGCGAGCAUCUGUGGCGAUUCCUGGGCUAGGGAGAGGUAGCAGUGCAGUGCUGGCGCCCGCGAUGGGGAGCGACGGCGACCGAGCGGCGGCCCGCCUCCCUCCUUGCGAUGAGUGAUGGCUAGAGUUCGUCCACGGUCUCAUUCGAGACAUCCCCUUCCAUCCGUGGCUCGAAUCUGACCGGAGCCAGCGAGAGAGGGCCUGCAUCUGAGGAAGGCCCUGUGCUCCCGGCCGGCUUCUCCCAGGCCGUGUGCCACCCGCUGCUAGUGUUCAGGGGGCAGGACAUUUCAUCCGCGUCAGGGAGCGGCAUCAGCGCGAUGGGCACGACGCGCCGGAACUCAUCCUCACGGACAGACGGAUAGCAUAAGCAUACUCAGACAAGUGAAUGAGCGCAGCCUGCUACUUUGAGGAUUUUUAGCACCGUUGGCGUGCUGAGCGUUGCCUGUGUUCAUGCCUGCGUCGCCUAUGUUCCUUUUAGGUCUUCUCCGCCUGCAAGACCGCACCCGCACCGAAGCUGCGGCAAUUAGUUUGACUGCUGGUGUUCAUGUUGGUAAUUCAAGUAAAUGCCCCUGGAGACACGGCAGGUACUGUGAUAUCAUCAUGGAAGCAAGCGCAGGAAGCAAAGGUGGAAUAUCUAUCUUUCUUGUAUUCUGCAGUCUCAUCAACGUUUUUCCACCCGGGAUGGCAAUUUAAACCUGAAAUAUCUUGCUGGUUGGCUAUAUGGGACAGUAAGAUCUGAAGAAGUUUUUUUCAUUUGUAAUAAUGAUGAUGUAUUUAAUGACAAAAUCAUUGUACGAUAUAAUUAAAUCAGAGCAUUUUACAUGAGACGCCAAUAUAUAUGAAUUCUAACGAGUUUAAUGCA
Long non-coding RNA from Panicum virgatum (switchgrass), 1568 nucleotides. RefSeq lists it as uncharacterized. NCBI's taxonomy places the organism in Eukaryota, Viridiplantae, Streptophyta, Magnoliopsida, Poales, Poaceae. The transcript has 2 exons. The record is from RefSeq and is a predicted model, not a curated record.